Molecule: ribosomal RNA, 376 nt
Filed under: Anopheles culicifacies E
Lineage: Eukaryota; Metazoa; Arthropoda; Insecta; Diptera; Culicidae
Description: eukaryotic LSU rRNA
Rfam family: Eukaryotic large subunit ribosomal RNA
Source: RNAcentral
AAUGGGUAUUGGGGACGGUCCUCAUGUACACUUGAACACCCACAGGCGAAGACAACUCGAAAGUUAUCACGGGGAUUACGGGUUCGGCCGAUGGCGCAAGCCUUCGUCGGGCCUCCAAUCCCAGGGUGUCCCGGUACGGGUGCUUGCACCCAGCGGACAUCCCCGGAGUGCGUAGGAUGUGACCCGAAAGAUGGUGGACUAUGCCUGAUCAGGUCAGGUCGAAGUCAGGGGAAACCCUGAUGGAGGACCGAAGAUCAGGUCGAAGUCAGGGGAAACCCUGAUGGAGGACCGAAGCAAUUCUGACGUGCAAAUCGAUUGUCAGAGUUGGGCAUAGGGGCGAAAGACCAAUCGAACCAUCUAGUAGCUGGUUCCUUCC